This 358-nucleotide long non-coding RNA is filed under the name Equus caballus (horse). RNAcentral describes it as "lncRNA (ENSECAG00000052931.1)". The record is from RNAcentral. Lineage: Eukaryota; Metazoa; Chordata; Mammalia; Perissodactyla; Equidae.
GGCUUUCAACUCCGUCUCCCGAAUCCAGGAAACAGAUCAAUACUGAAAACACUGCUCAAGACAACUACCUUUAUAAGCUUGCUGGCCUGAGACCUGGAAUCUGGAAGCCAGACCAAACACAACCUUUUGAAGUCCUGCAGCCCCCAGACUGUGGGUUUUUACUUGCUUCCACCUAGCUGUCUGACUUUCAGACCUCCUGCCUCUGCUGGCCCCAUUAGCUGUGCUCUAGUUCGACCCUGACGUCUGAAGUUCAGGCCACUGCUGCUUACUGCUUGGUGUUGACUGGCUGGAUUUGAGUGGAGGAGCAUGAUGAGCACAAUGUGGUCCUCAACGCACAGCCAUUUGGAGGCCAAAGGAG